This 25-nucleotide non-coding RNA is filed under the name Drosophila melanogaster (fruit fly). The record is from RNAcentral. RNAcentral also lists the same sequence under 10 other names. Lineage: Eukaryota; Metazoa; Arthropoda; Insecta; Diptera; Drosophilidae.
GACCUCGGAUCAGGUAGGGAUACCC